CGUCUUCAGGGCGGGGUGAGAUUCCCCACUGGCGGUACAGUCCGCGACCCGCGCGCACCCGCGCGGCUGACCCGGUGAGACUCCGGGACCAACGGUUACAGUCCGGAUGGAAGAAGAU
This 118-nucleotide non-coding RNA is filed under the name chicken gut metagenome. RNAcentral describes it as "FMN riboswitch (RFN element)". It matches the Rfam family "FMN riboswitch aptamer (RFN element)". From Rfam's summary of the family: The RFN element is a highly conserved domain that is found frequently in the 5'-untranslated regions of prokaryotic mRNAs that encode for flavin mononucleotide (FMN) biosynthesis and transport proteins. This element is a metabolite-dependent riboswitch that directly binds FMN in the absence of proteins. The record is from RNAcentral.